This 88-nucleotide transfer RNA is filed under the name Eubacteriales Family XIII. Incertae Sedis bacterium. RNAcentral describes it as "tRNA-Ser". It matches the Rfam family "tRNA". Rfam says of the family: Transfer RNA (tRNA) molecules are approximately 80 nucleotides in length. The record is from RNAcentral. Lineage: Bacteria; Bacillati; Bacillota; Clostridia; Peptostreptococcales; Anaerovoracaceae.
GGAGGGUUGACCGAGUGGCUAAGGAGCUCGCUUGGAAAGCGAGUAGGGCAGCUAUGCCUCGUGGGUUCGAGUCCCAUGCCCUCCGCCA